AGUGAACGCUGGCGGUAGGCCUAACACAUGCAAGUCGAACGGCAGCACAGUAAGAGCUUGCUCUUACGGGUGGCGAGUGGCGGACGGGUGAGGAAUACAUCGGAAUCUACUUUUUCGUGGGGGAUAACGUAGGGAAACUUACGCUAAUACCGCAUACGACCUACGGGUGAAAGCAGGGGAACUUUGGACCUUGUGCGAUUGAAUGAGCCGAUGUCGGAUUAGUUAGUUGGCGGGGUGAAGGCCCACCAAGGCGACGAUCCGUAGCUGGUCUGGGAGGAUGGUCAGCCACACUGGAACUGGGACACGGUCCAGACUCCUACGGGAGGCAGCAGAGGGGAAUAUUGGACAGUGGGCGCAAGCCUGAUCCAGCCAUACCGCGUGGGUGAAGAAGGCCUUCGGGUUGUAAAGCCCUUUUGUUGGGAAAGAAAAGCAGCAGGUUAAUACCCCGCUGUUCUGACGGUACCCAAAGAAUAAGCACCGGCUAACUUCGUG
RNAcentral lists this ribosomal RNA (492 nucleotides) under uncultured bacterium. RNAcentral describes it as "partial 16S ribosomal RNA". It matches the Rfam family "Bacterial small subunit ribosomal RNA", at positions 29 to 507 of the family's 1533-position model. The record is from RNAcentral.